RNAcentral lists this ribosomal RNA (586 nucleotides) under uncultured bacterium. RNAcentral's name for it is "bacterial SSU rRNA". It matches the Rfam family "Bacterial small subunit ribosomal RNA", at positions 803 to 1390 of the family's 1533-position model. The record is from RNAcentral.
UNAACGAUGUCGAUUAGCUGUUGGGCAGCAUGACUGCUUAGUAGCGAAGCUAACGCGUGAAAUCGACCGCCUGGGGAGUACGGUCGCAAGAUUAAAACUCAAAGGAAUUGACGGGGACCCGCACAAGCGGUGGAUGAUGUGGAUUAAUUCGAUGCAACGCGAAGAACCUUACCUGGUCUUGACAUGCACGGAACCCUCCAGAGACGGAGGGGUGCCUUCGGGAGCCGUAACACAGGUGCUGCAUGGCUGUCGUCAGCUCGUGUCGUGAGAUGUUGGGUUAAGUCCCGCAACGAGCGCAACCCUUGUCAUUAGUUGCCAUCAUUAAGUUGGGCACUCUAAUGAGACUGCCGGUGACAAGCCGGAGGAAGGUGGGGAUGACGUCAAGUCCUCAUGGCCCUUAUGACCAGGGCUUCACACGUCAUACAAUGGUCGGUACAGAGGGUAGCCAAGCCGCGAGGUGGAGCCAAUCUCACAAAACCGAUCGUAGUCCGGAUUGCACUCUGCAACUCGAGUGCAUGAAGUCGGAAUCGCUAGUAAUCGCAGGUCAGCAUACUGCGGUGAAUACGUUCCCGGGUCUUGUACACAC